This 744-nucleotide ribosomal RNA is filed under the name Triticum aestivum (bread wheat). RNAcentral's name for it is "partial small subunit ribosomal RNA". Lineage: Eukaryota; Viridiplantae; Streptophyta; Magnoliopsida; Poales; Poaceae. The record is from RNAcentral.
AUGAAGGUAAUAGCUUGGAAUUGUUAGGGGUUGGGGAACGGCUCGGCAAUUUAGGGUCUUAUGGACAUCCAGAAGAACAAGGACGACCCCGACAUCCUUUUUUUGUCGGAAACAAAACUAGUUACGAAAAGGAUGGAAUGGUGGAGAUGGAAACUUGGACUGACUAGUAUGAGAGUGAAGGAUUGCGAAGGUCAAUCUGGUGGUUUGGCACUGUUUUGGAGGAGCUCGCUAAAGGUGCAAGCAGGACUAAUAUCGAGGUACCAUAUUGAUGCUAUAGUAACUGAGAAGGAUGGUUUUGAAUGGCGGUUUACUGGUAUUUAUGAAGAACCGAGUUUGGGUAAAAGGGAGGCCACCUCGAGAUUAUUAAGGACAAUCAAACAUCAUAGUGACAGUCCAUGGUUGUGUCUAGGGGACUUUAAUGAGAUUAUGUUCCAAGGGGAGAAGGAGGGAGGGGUGGAGAGGCCCCAAGUUUACAUGGAUAGGUUCAAGCAAGCGUUGGAGGAUUGUAAUUUGCAUGAUUUUGGUUUCACGAGGGAUGUGUUCACUUGGAGAAAUAACAACCAUGAUGCAAAUCUUUACAUUAGAGAGAGGUUGGAUAGAGUGGUGGCAACACCUGAAUGGUGUAGCAGAUUUCCGACGUAUCGAGUAGCUAAUGGGGACCCCGACACUCGGACCACCGGCCACUCUCGCCCCUCCCAUGCCAUGGAGGCCAAGGACCAGAGAGGAAACCCUUCUCCCAUCUAG